This 235-nucleotide ribosomal RNA is filed under the name uncultured bacterium. Its description in RNAcentral is "partial 16S ribosomal RNA". It matches the Rfam family "Bacterial small subunit ribosomal RNA", at positions 118 to 347 of the family's 1533-position model. The record is from RNAcentral.
UGAGCAAUCUGCCCUUCUCAUCGGAAUAAGCGUUGGAAACGACGUCUAAUGCCGAAUACGACCUCCUUUCGCAUGAUCGGAGGUGGAAAGCUCCGGCGGAGAAGGAUGAGCUCGCGGCCUAUCAGCUAGUUGGUGUGGGUAACGCCCACCAAGGCGACGACGGGUAGCCGGCCUGAGAGGGUGACCGGCCACACUGGGACUGAGACACGGCCCAGACUCCUACGGGAGNAGUAGG